RNAcentral lists this ribosomal RNA (248 nucleotides) under uncultured bacterium. RNAcentral's name for it is "partial 16S ribosomal RNA". It matches the Rfam family "Bacterial small subunit ribosomal RNA", at positions 57 to 305 of the family's 1533-position model. The record is from RNAcentral.
GCAAGUCGAACGAUGAAAUUCCAGCUUGCUGGAAUGGAUUAGUGGCGGACGGGUGCGUAACGCGUGGGAAUCUACCUUAUAGUGGGGGAUAGCCCGGAGAAAUCCGGAUUAAUACCGCAUAAUCUCUACGGAGGAAAGUGGGGGAUCUUCGGACCUCACGGCUAUUGAUGAGCCCGCGUUAGAUUAGCUAGUUGGUAGGGUAAUGGCCUACCAAGGCAACGAUCUAUAGCUGGUUUGAGAGGAUGAUC